AUUUAAAUAGCUUAAUUUUAGAGCGUAAUAUUGAAGAUAUUAAGGUAAUUUUUAGAUUUUUAAAUA
RNAcentral lists this transfer RNA (66 nucleotides) under Anobiinae sp. GENSP01. RNAcentral describes it as "tRNA-Phe". The record is from RNAcentral. Lineage: Eukaryota; Metazoa; Arthropoda; Insecta; Coleoptera; Ptinidae.